GUAGUCUCGCACAGAUGCAUAUCAAUAAGCGGAGGAAAAGAAACUAACAAGGAUUCCCCUAGUAACGGCGAGUGAAGCGGGGAGAGCUCAAAUUUGAAAUCUUAAAGGGUUUCCCUUUACGAAUUGUAGUUUAAAGAAGUGUUUUCUGUUGAGGUUUUGGUAAAAGUUCUUUGGAAUAGGACAUCAUAGAGGGUGAGAAUCCCGUAUUUGACCUUUACUUUCAACUUUGUGAUACACUUUCAAAGAGUCGGAUUGUUUGGGAAUGCAGUCCAAAAUGGGUGGUAAAUUUCAUCUAAAGCUAAAUAUUGGCGAGAGACCGAUAGCGAACAAGUACCGUGAGGGAAAGAUGAAAAGAACUUUGAAAAGAGAGUUAAACAGUACGUGAAAUUGUCAAAAGGGAAGCGUUUGACACCAGUGUUGUUUUUCUGAAAAUCAAUUAAAGAACUGUUUAUGCUAAGUUGUUUAGACUUUAUCAGCUAACUGUUUAGUUUUGAGCUUUUCUUUAAUGCACUUUUCAGUUAACAAGUCAACAUCAAUUUCUUUUGCUGUAAAAAAGCUUGAGGAAGGUGGCUUGAGAUUCGUCUUAAGUGUUUAUAGCCUCCUGCCUAUGCAGUCGGAGAGAUUGAGGUCUGCAGCGUAGAUCCUUCGGGGCUAAAUGCAUUUGUGCUAAGUUAUAGCAUUUUAUAGACAACUUGUUGACUAUGAUUUGUCUUGUAGCUUACUCGCUUAUGUUAUUUUACCUACGCUUAGGAUGUUGAAGACUCUACAGAGAUA
Molecule: ribosomal RNA, 774 nt
Filed under: uncultured Neocallimastigales
Lineage: Eukaryota; Fungi; Neocallimastigomycota; Neocallimastigomycetes; Neocallimastigales
Description: partial large subunit ribosomal RNA
Rfam family: Eukaryotic large subunit ribosomal RNA
Source: RNAcentral